UGGGAUGUAGCUCAGUGGUAGAGCACUUGCCUGACAUGUGUGAGACCCUGGGUUCAAUCCUCGGUACCUCAA
RNAcentral lists this transfer RNA (72 nucleotides) under Heterocephalus glaber (naked mole-rat). It matches the Rfam family "tRNA". From Rfam's summary of the family: Transfer RNA (tRNA) molecules are approximately 80 nucleotides in length. Their secondary structure includes four short double-helical elements and three loops (D, anti-codon, and T loops). Lineage: Eukaryota; Metazoa; Chordata; Mammalia; Rodentia; Bathyergidae. The record is from Rfam by way of RNAcentral.